CCUACGGGUGGCAGCAGUGAGGAAUAUUGGUCAAUGGACGAGAGUCUGAACCAGCCAAGUAGCGUGAAGGAUGACUGCCCUAUGGGUUGUAAACUUCUUUUAUAUGGGAAUAAAAUGUUCCACGUGUGGGAUUUUGUAUGUACCAUAUGAAUAAGGAUCGGCUAACUCCGUGCCAGCAGCCGAGGUAAUACGGAGGAUCCGAGCGUUAUCCGGAUUUAUUGGGUUUAAAGGGAGCGUGGGUGGAUUGUUAAGUCAGUUGUGAAAGUUUGCGUCUCAACCGUAAAAUUGCAGCUGAAACUGGCAGUCUUGAGUACAGUAGAGGUGGGCGGAAUUCGUGGUGUAGCGGUGAAAUGCUUAGAUAUCACGAAGAACUCCGAUUGCGAAGGCAGUUCACUGGACUGCAACUGACACUGAGGCUCGAAAGUGUGGGUAUCAAACAGGAUUAGAUACCCUUGUAGUC
This 460-nucleotide ribosomal RNA is filed under the name uncultured bacterium. RNAcentral's name for it is "partial 16S ribosomal RNA". It matches the Rfam family "Bacterial small subunit ribosomal RNA", at positions 338 to 795 of the family's 1533-position model. The record is from RNAcentral.